ACCAUGCAGUCGAACGAUGAACCACUUCGGUGGGGAUUAGUGGCGAACGGGUGAGUAACACGUGGGCAAUCUGCCCUUCACUCUGGGACAAGCCCUGGAAACGGGGUCUAAUACCGGAUGACACUCCUACUCGCAUGGGUGGGGGUUGAAAGCUCCGGCGGUGAAGGAUGAGCCCGCGGCCUAUCAGCUUGUUGGUGAGGUAGUGGCUCACCAAGGCGACGACGGGUAGCCGGCCUGAGAGGGCGACCGGCCACACUGGGACUGAGACACGGCCCAGACUCCUACGGGAGGCAGCAGUGGGGAAUAUUGCACAAUGGGCGAAAGCCUGAUGCAGCGACGCCGCGUGAGGGAUGACGGCCUUCGGGUUGUAAACCUCUUUCAGCAGGGAAGAAGCGAAAGUGACGGUACCUGCAGAAGAAGCGCCGGCUAACUACGUGCCAGCAGCCGCGGUAAUACGUAGGGCGCAAGCGUUGUCCGGAAUUAUUGGGCGUAAAGAGCUCGUAGGCGGUCUGUCGCGUCGGAUGUG
This 526-nucleotide ribosomal RNA is filed under the name Streptomyces sp. YIM 69358. RNAcentral describes it as "bacterial SSU rRNA". It matches the Rfam family "Bacterial small subunit ribosomal RNA", at positions 53 to 596 of the family's 1533-position model. Lineage: Bacteria; Bacillati; Actinomycetota; Actinomycetes; Kitasatosporales; Streptomycetaceae. The record is from RNAcentral.